This is a long non-coding RNA of Myxocyprinus asiaticus (Chinese sucker), 670 nucleotides long. RefSeq lists it as uncharacterized. The transcript has 4 exons. The record is from RefSeq and is a predicted model, not a curated record. NCBI's taxonomy places the organism in Eukaryota, Metazoa, Chordata, Actinopteri, Cypriniformes, Catostomidae.
AAUAUGUACAGUGAAAAAGGAGCUACAUUCUAGUCUAUUCUCACUGGAUCACUUCAGAAGACAUUGAUUAAACCACUGGCGUCUUAUGGAUUUCUUUUAUGCUGACUUAUGCUGACAGCAGAAGAAAGAAAGUCAUACACAUCUGGGAUGGCAUGAGAUGCAGGCCUGAAUACGGCCCAACUGGCGGGCAUAAUUUCUAAAGUAGUCAAUUGGAAUUGACGAGGAGCACAUGGACAUUGUAGAAGUUAAACAAGGUUGAACAUGUGUGCCUCAAGUUCCUUGAAUGCAGAACCACCAUGGAGUUCCAGAACCUUUGUGGAGACCCUGGAUUUAAAUUUGGUGUCAAAUUCAGAGAUGGGCCUUGCUGAACGUCACUUUGCCGAAAUGCCAGCAUAUCAGAAGGUGUUGCCUCCAGUACCACUGUGUUAACCAGUGGAGAACAGUUGCCACUAGCUCUGAUGGCAUGUCUUGCUACCAUUCUUUUGAAAGCUGACUUAAAUUGCCUUGCUGUGGGAUUGUUGUUAAAUCCAUUAGCAGAUCUGUCCCCAUAAAUCUUCAAAUUGUUAUUGUAUUGUUCAGUUUAAUAGUCAAUUUUUGUGUAUACAUGGAAGCUUCUGUUAUUGAACAAAUAUAUAUGUAUGAUUUUCUUGAGUGUGCAUAAAUGUCAAUA